CGCAUCUGUGCAUGCAGCAUAUCAAUAAGCGGAGGAAAAGAAACUAACAAGGAUUCCCCUAGUAACGGCGAGUGAAGCGGGAAGAGCUCAAAUUUGAAAUCUUAAAGGGUUUCCCUUUACGAAUUGUAGUUUAAAGAAGUGUUUUCUGUUGAGGUUUUGGUAAAAGUUCUUUGGAAUAGGACAUCAUAGAGGGUGAGAAUCCCGUAUUUGACCUUUACUUUCAACUUUGUGAUACACUUUCAAAGAGUCGGAUUGUUUGGGAAUGCAGUCCAAAAUGGGUGGUAAAUUUCAUCUAAAGCUAAAUAUUGGCGAGAGACCGAUAGCGAACAAGUACCGUGAGGGAAAGAUGAAAAGAACUUUGAAAAGAGAGUUAAACAGUACGUGAAAUUGUCAAAAGGGAAGCGUUUGACACCAGUGUUGUUUUUCUGAAAAUCAAUUAAAGAACUGUUUAUGCUAAGCUGUUUAGACUUUAUCAGCUAUCUGUUUAGUUUUGAGCUUUUCUUUAAUGCACUUUUCAGUUAACAAGUCAACAUCAAUUUCUUUUGCUGUAAAAAAGCCUUGAGGAAGGUGGCUUGAGAUUCGUCUUAAGUGUUUAUAGCCUCUUGCCUAUGCAGUCGGAGAGAUUGAGGUCUGCAGCGUAGAUCCUUCGGGGCUAAAUGCAUUUGUGCUAAGUUAUAGCAUUUUAUAGACAACUUGUUGACUAUGAUUUGUCUUGUAGCUUACUCGCUUAUGUUAUUUUACCUACGCUUAGGAUGUUGAACGCGCACAGAGUCUC
RNAcentral lists this ribosomal RNA (775 nucleotides) under uncultured Neocallimastigales. RNAcentral's name for it is "partial large subunit ribosomal RNA". It matches the Rfam family "Eukaryotic large subunit ribosomal RNA", at positions 26 to 641 of the family's 3401-position model. The record is from RNAcentral. Lineage: Eukaryota; Fungi; Neocallimastigomycota; Neocallimastigomycetes; Neocallimastigales.